This is a ribosomal RNA of Panthera pardus (leopard), 104 nucleotides long. The record is from Ensembl. NCBI's taxonomy places the organism in Eukaryota, Metazoa, Chordata, Mammalia, Carnivora, Felidae.
CCACAUCGUCAUACCACCCUGAAUGCACUGAUCUCAUCUGAUCUUGAAGCUAAACAGGAUCAUCGCUGGUUAGCAUUAGGAUGGGAAAAGGCAUACAAUAUUAA